Molecule: ribosomal RNA, 205 nt
Filed under: uncultured bacterium
Lineage: Bacteria
Description: partial 16S ribosomal RNA
Rfam family: Bacterial small subunit ribosomal RNA
Source: RNAcentral
UACGGGGGGGGCAAGCGUUGUUCGGAAUUACUGGGCGUAAAGGGCUCGUAGGUGGCCAACUAAGUCAGACGUGAAAUCCCUCGGACUUAACCGGGGACUGCGUCUGAUACUGGUUGGCUUGAAUCCGGGAGAGGGAUGUGGAAUUCCAGGUGUAGCGGUGAAAUGCGUAGAUAAUCUGGAGGAACACCGGUGGCGAAGGCGGCGA